RNAcentral lists this ribosomal RNA (433 nucleotides) under uncultured Pseudobutyrivibrio sp. RNAcentral describes it as "partial 16S ribosomal RNA". It matches the Rfam family "Bacterial small subunit ribosomal RNA", at positions 341 to 792 of the family's 1533-position model. The record is from RNAcentral. Lineage: Bacteria; Bacillati; Bacillota; Clostridia; Lachnospirales; Lachnospiraceae.
ACGAAGGCAGCAGUGGGGAAUAUUGCACAAUGGGCGAAAGCCUGAUGCAGCGACGCCGCGUGAGCGAAGAAGUAUUUCGGUAUGUAAAGCUCUAUCAGCAGGGAAGAUAAUGACGGUACCUGACUAAGAAGCACCGGCUAAAUACGUGCCAGCAGCCGCGGUAAUACGUAUGGUGCAAGCGUUAUCCGGAUUUACUGGGUGUAAAGGGAGCGUAGGCGGUUUUACAAGUCUGAUGUGAAAGCCCGGGGCUCAACUCCGGUAUUGCAUUGGAAACUGUAGAACUAGAGUGUCGGAGGGGUAAGUGGAAUUCCUAGUGUAGCGGUGAAAUGCGUAGAUAUUAGGAGGAACACCAGUGGCGAAGGCGGCUUACUGGACGAUUACUGACGCUGAGGCUCGAAAGCGUGGGGAGCAAACAGGAUUAGAUACCCUGGUA